Molecule: ribosomal RNA, 397 nt
Filed under: uncultured bacterium
Lineage: Bacteria
Description: partial 16S ribosomal RNA
Rfam family: Bacterial small subunit ribosomal RNA
Source: RNAcentral
AUACGUAGGUGGCGAGCGUUGUCCGGAAUUACUGGGCGUAAAGGAUGCGUAGAUGGAUACUUAAGUGGGAUGUGAAAUCCCCGGGCUCAACCCGGGAACUGCAUUCCAAACUGGGUAUCUAGAGUGCAGGAGAGGAAAGCGGAAUUCCUAGUGUAGCGGUGAAAUGCGUAGAUAUUAGGAGGAACACCAGUGGCGAAGGCGGCUUUCUGGACUGUAACUGACACUGAGGCAUGAAAGCGUGGGUAGCAAACAGGAUUAGAUACCCUGGUAGUCCACGCCGUAAACGAUGGGUACUAGGUGUAGGAGGUAUCGACCCCUUCUGUGCCGUCGUUAACACAAUAAGUACCCCGCCUGGGGAGUACGGUCGCAAGACUAAAACUCAAAGGAAUUGACGGGG